This 402-nucleotide long non-coding RNA is filed under the name Vigna radiata. RNAcentral describes it as "long non-coding RNA (VRAD_LNC010767)". Lineage: Eukaryota; Viridiplantae; Streptophyta; Magnoliopsida; Fabales; Fabaceae. The record is from RNAcentral.
GGAUAUAUGUUCAGGGUAGUGCAUCUUUUGUACAGAUGGAGGGUGCUGUCAUGAGCUUAGUGUUAGUCAUCUCUCAGUUCAAGAAGAAAGUCAGUUUCAAUUACUUUAUGAAGGUUAUACUUCCGCCUUUGACAGCUUCAGUCGGCAUGAUAAGAGUGGCGGAAUACAUAAGAGUGGCGGAAUUCUUUGACAAUAUAAAACCAUCAAACUAUCUGGAUGACUGAUGGGUGUUGCCGUCCAAUCAAAUUUGAUGUGCAGUUUAAAGUGCAGUAUAACUAGGGAAUGACCCCUAGGUCGUCUCCCAAAGACCAAUUUUGCGGUUCAGAAUCAAGUCAAACACACACAGUGGGGGGUUUUGAAAUUGGUUUUGUUUGUGAAUGCAACUGACGAAAUUAAAAAUAA